AACCUAGCACACCUGCGGUGUGUACCUGCGGAGGGAUCAUUAUCGAGUGUAAUCUACCCCUUUAAAAAAGGGUAGUACCUCCCGUCCUUUGCAGGCCUCUUUUUUUAUUAGGGGGGGCUUUUUAAGACUUUCUGCUUCGGCGGGGUUACUCCCGCCGGAACACCCUCAAAAAAUUCUCGAAAAAAAUCGUUCAGUCCGAGAACUUUUUAAAAAUAAAAUAAAACUUUUAACAAUGGAUCU
RNAcentral lists this unclassified non-coding RNA (240 nucleotides) under soil metagenome. Its description in RNAcentral is "partial contains 5.8S ribosomal RNA, internal transcribed spacer 2, and large subunit ribosomal RNA". The record is from RNAcentral.